UACGGGGGGGGCAAGCGUUGUUCGGAAUUACUGGGCGUAAAGGGCUCGUAGGCGGCCAACUAAGUCAGACGUGAAAUCCCUCGGCUCAACCGGGGAACUGCGUCCGAUACUGGAUGGCUUGAAUCCGGGAGAGGGAUGCGGAAUUCCAGGUGUAGCGGUGAAAUGCGUAGAUAUCUGGAGGAACACCGGUGGCGAAGGCGGCAUCCUGGACCGGCAUUGACGCUGAGGAGCGAAAGCCAGGGGAGCAAACGGG
This 253-nucleotide ribosomal RNA is filed under the name uncultured bacterium. Its description in RNAcentral is "partial 16S ribosomal RNA". It matches the Rfam family "Bacterial small subunit ribosomal RNA", at positions 524 to 776 of the family's 1533-position model. The record is from RNAcentral.